UGCAAGUCGAGCGGAACGACACUAACAAUCCUUCGGGUGCGUUAAUGGGCGUCGAGCGGCGGACGGGUGAGUAAUGCCUAGGAAAUUGCCUUGAUGUGGGGGAUAACCAUUGGAAACGAUGGCUAAUACCGCAUAAUGCCUACGGGCCAAAGAGGGGGACCUUCGGGCCUCUCGCGUCAAGAUAUGCCUAGGUGGGAUUAGCUAGUUGGUGAGGUAAUGGCUCACCAAGGCGACGAUCCCUAGCUGGUCUGAGAGGAUGAUCAGCCACACUGGAACUGAGACACGGUCCAGACUCCUACGGGAGGCAGCAGUGGGGAAUAUUGCACAAUGGGCGAAAGCCUGAUGCAGCCAUGCCGCGUGUAUGAAGAAGGCCUUCGGGUUGUAAAGUACUUUCAGUUGUGAGGAAGGGGGUAACGUUAAUAGCGUUAUCUCUUGACGUUAGCAACAGAAGAAGCACCGGCUAACUCCGUGCCAGCAGCCGCGGUAAUACGGAGGGUGCGAGCGUUAAUCGGAAUUACUGGGCGUAAAGCGCAUGCAGGUGGUUCAUUAAGUCAGAUGUGAAAGCCCGGGGCUCAACCUCGGAACUGCAUUUGAAACUGGUGAACUAGAGUGCUGUAGAGGGGGGUAGAAUUUCAGGUGUAGCGGUGAAAUGCGUAGAGAUCUGAAGGAAUACCAGUGGCGAAGGCGGCCCCCUGGACAGACACUGACACUCAGAUGCGAAAGCGUGGGGAG
This 732-nucleotide ribosomal RNA is filed under the name Vibrio sp. RNAcentral's name for it is "bacterial SSU rRNA". It matches the Rfam family "Bacterial small subunit ribosomal RNA", at positions 56 to 768 of the family's 1533-position model. The record is from RNAcentral. Lineage: Bacteria; Pseudomonadati; Pseudomonadota; Gammaproteobacteria; Vibrionales; Vibrionaceae.